RNAcentral lists this transfer RNA (76 nucleotides) under Candidatus Chisholmbacteria bacterium RIFCSPHIGHO2_01_FULL_48_12. RNAcentral describes it as "tRNA-Lys". It matches the Rfam family "tRNA". Rfam says of the family: Transfer RNA (tRNA) molecules are approximately 80 nucleotides in length. Their secondary structure includes four short double-helical elements and three loops (D, anti-codon, and T loops). Further hydrogen bonds mediate the characteristic L-shaped molecular structure. tRNAs have two regions of fundamental functional importance: the anti-codon, which is responsible for specific mRNA codon recognition, and the 3' end, to which the tRNAs corresponding amino acid is attached (by aminoacyl-tRNA synthetases). tRNAs cope with the degeneracy of the genetic code in two manners: having more than one tRNA (with a specific anti-codon) for a particular amino acid; and 'wobble' base-pairing, i.e. permitting non-standard base-pairing at the 3rd anti-codon position. Lineage: Bacteria; Candidatus Chisholmiibacteriota. The record is from RNAcentral.
GGGCCGUUAGCUCAGCGGUUAGAGCACCUGCCUCUUAAGCAGGGUGUCGCUGGUUCGAAUCCAGCACGGCUCACCA